Bufo bufo (common toad) is the source of this 1008-nucleotide long non-coding RNA. RefSeq lists it as uncharacterized. NCBI's taxonomy places the organism in Eukaryota, Metazoa, Chordata, Amphibia, Anura, Bufonidae. The record is from RefSeq and is a predicted model, not a curated record. The transcript has 4 exons.
ACUUACACAGAGAAUACUAUAAAUCACUGAUAACACCUCCCCCAUGUACAUCUAUCAGUGACUGACAGCUAUCUCUGUAUACAAACUUACACACGCAGUACUAUCAGUCACUGAUAACAUUUCCCCCGUGUACAACAAAAGUUGCAAAAAGCGGAGAAAUAAAUGACAAGUUUUACUGAAUCUUUUGCCAUAAAACUGUAACUAAAUCUGCUCAGCUCCUCCUGCUCUAUAACAAGCUGCCGGCAGAUUGUGCUGCAUUUCGUGGAUACAAGAUCUCUUUAAAGCCAUACAUUAACAUAUAGUGUAACCACUUCUACAUCACUGGAAUGGCCAUUGUAUAUAUACUUUAUAUUCAAUAUGAUCAUGUGUUUAUACUUAUAGAUUGUACAUAUGUAAUAUAUUUUGGUUUUUCUUCUCUUUUCGGGACACAUAAGAGAAAUAAGUAUUUUAGCAGUACCAGGAACAAUUCAGUGUUUUAUAAAAACACUAAACUUAGAAAUGUGUGCUAAAAGUAUACAAGAAAUAUAGUUGUCUUCACUUUGUCAGUCUGCAGUGAUUUCUGCAUGAUCCAGACACAUACAGUCUUGUAGAAAUCCUGAGGUUACAGGGAUUGUACCAUUACAACAACUUAUCCCCUAUCCACAGCAUCUGAUUGGUAGGAUCCUACUCCUGGGGCCCCAUUAUUCACAAGAACAGGGUCCCUUGUUCACCUGUUUGAAUGGACCGGCAAACACACAUGUGCGCUGCUUCUCCAUUCAACCCUGUGGGGCUGCCUGUGAUAACCAAACGCUUGUACCCAGCUAUCACUGACAGUCCCAUGGAAUUGAAUGUGCUCCAUUCAAAUGGUGGAACACAGAUCCCUGUUCUUGUGAUAUUCGGGGCCCAGGUGGUUGUACCCCACCGAUCAGACACUUAUUCCCUAUCCCGUGGAUAGGGGAUACAUUUUUGUAGUGAGACAACCCCUUUAAACUCCUGCUGAUUGUUCUUUUUUUGACUUGUGAUUGACUU